Molecule: long non-coding RNA, 4293 nt
Organism: Peromyscus californicus insignis
Lineage: Eukaryota; Metazoa; Chordata; Mammalia; Rodentia; Cricetidae
Exons: 3
Source: RefSeq, a predicted model, not a curated record
GAGCGGAGCGCAGAUCAGCACCGGGCGUUCUCGGCCCUCCUCCUCCCUCCCCCUAAUCCCCGGUCCUCCCCGCCUCCAACUGGGCUGAGCGCGCCCUGCGGGUGGGCUCGAGAAGCCAAGUGCAAACCCUCCGACACAAAGUUCACGGCCACCGGGGCAGGGCCCGGCCGGGCAGGGCGCUCCAGGCAGCAGCAGCAGCAGCAGCUGCCCCUGCAGGCCUGCGCCGGGACAGCGCGGUGCUCAGCCAGAAGGCCGCUCGGGGACCCCCGCCGAGCCGCGGGCCCACCUGUGACGAGGCCCAUGUUUGCUGAUCCAACCCCACAGAAAACGAGAACCUCUGGUUCCCUGGGAGUGCCUCUGCUUAAGGACUCUGUCUCAUGAAUGCUGGAGUUGGGGGAUGAGGGCUUUGGAAUUUCCCAGUGUAGCCUUGAAGAAUGCCACUUACCAACAAAGCCCUCUACAGCUAUCCAUGGAUGUGUACCUGCUAGCCCACAGCUGUCCGUGGAUGUGUGCCUGCUAGCCCACAGCUGUCCCUAGAUGUGUACCUGCUAGCCCACAGCUGUCCCUGGAUGUGUGCCUGCUAGCCCACAGCUGUCCGUGGAUGUGUAUCUGCUAGCCCACAGCUGUUCCUGGAUGUGUGCCUGCUAGCCCACAGCUGUCCAUGGAUGUGUACCUGCUAGCCCACAGCUGUCCGUGGAUGUGUGCGUGGAUGUGUGCCUGCUAGUCCACAGCUGUCCGUGGAUGUGUACCUGCUAGCCCACAGCUGUCCGUGGAUGUGUACCUGCUAGCCCACAGCUUUCCAUGGAAAACACAACGCUGAAUGGGACGCCAAACAGCAGUCCCGUAGGGAGCCAGCGAGUGAAAUGACACUGCAGUGAAGUGAAGGGACGGAGAUGGCACACAAGGAAUCCACGAGCCUGGGUAUCCCAGGAACCCGGGAUCAGUGUCUAGAGGAAGCCAUGGGAGUGACCCUCGGGACCAGAACAAGAACCUCCCAGGCAGACAAGAGCUUUCCAAGGAGCACAAGUUAAAGACGUGAACUCUCAGCUUCCUGCUCCAGCUGCUGCCUGCUGCCACACUUCUCUAUCACAAUGGAACCUUCUUGUCCCUCUGGAACCAUAAGCCCAAAGAAAUUCUUCUCUGUGUUGCCUUGGUCAUGGUGUUUUACCAUAGCAACCGAGAGUAACUAAUACAGCUUCUUAAGGGGGAGAAACAAGUAAGUGUCCUGGCAAUAGCCACAUUUACCAUUUUGGUGACUCUCAAGUUACAUCUCAAAGGCUUGCUAAAGGUAUUCUCUCUCUCUCUCUCUCUCUCUCUCUCUCUCUCUCUCUCUCUCUCUCUCUUCUCUCCUCUCUCUCUUCCCUCCCUUCCCUCUUUCUCUGAUACAAAGUCUCAUGUGGCCUUCUAUGAAGCCAAGGAUGACCUUGAACUUCUAACCCUCCUGCCUUGACCUUGACCUGCCAAGCGCUGGGAUUACAGCUGUGCACCACGCACAGUUUAUGGUACUGAAGCCUGGACUCAGGGCUUCAUGAUGGUGGCAGCCAAACCUGCUACCAGCUGAGCAUAUCCCCACCCUCUUCUUCCUGAUAAGUGGCUGCAGAGGACUUGCGUGGAGUCGUAAUCUGAUAAGGAAAAUCCAGGAAGCACUAGGGUUGCACAAGGUUUAGGACGUAACUUUUACCAUAAUGGAGUGUCUGGUCUGAGAUUCCUGGAAAGUUGCAGGUCACAGCUGGGAAGGGAGAAAGGUCUUAAGGAAAUGUGGCUAAUGGUGCUGGAAUUUUGACUUCCUAGCUGGAGGGAGCCUUCAAGCAGGCUCCUGGAUGAGACUCCUUUCCGUUCUCCUGUCCCCAUCAUACCCCUGUCUUUCUGUCCUGUCUCAUUGGAGAGCAGAAGUUAAAAAUCCAGGUGUGGGCCGGACUUCAUUCCCUCCAAAGGUUCUUGGAAACGCCCCUUCCUGUCAUUUCUAGUACCUGGUGACUCCAGAUUCCUUGUCACACAGCAAUAGAAAGUGUCUCUAGGGGCUGGAGGAAUGGCUCAGCAGUUAAGAGCACUGCUUGUUCUUCCAGAGGUCCUGAGUUCAAUUCCCAGCAACCACAUGGUGGCUCACAACUACUUGUAAUGAGAUCUGUCGAUCUGAUGCCCUCUUCUGGUCUGCAGGUGUAUAUGCAGAUAGAGCACUGUAUACGUAAUAAAUAAAUCUUUAAAAAAAAGAAAGAAAGUAUCUCUAGCCCUCUCAUGUCUCUCUAGGCCCCUCCUCUUGUAAGAACACCAGUCAUUGUUUGCAUUAGGGCUCAAGCUUGAUAUAGAAUGGCGUCAUUUCCAUGCAUAUAUGCCCAAGCCUUCCCCUCCCUCAGAGUACCCUCAUACAGUCGAGAUCCAGCUGCCCUGUGUCACUGGCAUGGCGGGAGCCAAGAUAUACUAAAGAGAGACACUUGUGCUCUCCCUUCAGCUGUGAGGUUAUAGAAACAAUGGUCUCCGUGGAAUUGGAAGUCACCCCCCCCCCAAGUCUCAGAAUUGACUGAGAUUUCUUAGCUAUGCAUAGCCCCUAUUUAAACAUAAACCUCAGAAACUGGAGAAAUAGCUCUGUGGUUAAGAGCACUAGUUGCUCUUGGAGAGAACUUGGGGUCAAUUCCCAGCACGCACAUGGCAGCUCACAGCCAUUUCUAACUCCAGUCCCAGAGGAUAUGAUGCCCUCUUCUGGCCUUUGCGAGAACUGCAUGCACGUGGUGCACAGAGGUGCAUGCAGUCAGGACACCCUUUCACAUAACAUAAAAACAAUUAAAACAAGCCGGGCGGUGGUGGCACACGCCUUUAAUCCCAGCACUCUGGGAGACAGAGCUAGGCGGAUCUCUGUGAGUUCGAGGCCAGCGAGAUCCAGGACAGGCACCAAAACUACACAGAGAAACCCUGUCUCGAAACACCCCCCCCAAAUAAUAAUAAUAAUUAAAACAAAAAAAUUAAAAAUCAUGAACCCUUAUACCAGGACGCUGAAAGUGGACUUUGGGGUCCCUGGACCUCUUCAUUUGUUCUUCUUUCCAAUGUAGCCAUAUUGAAUAAACCUCUACUUUUCACUAUUAUGCAUCUCGUUAACUGAUGUAUUUGAGGCCGGGUGGCUGAACCUAGCUUAUCAGGUCUUCUUUAACCAUAAAAACUCCAGCGACAGUGAUUUGGGUAUGUUGGGCACUCUCCAUGGCAGUGAUUUGGGUAUGUUGGGCACUCUCCAUGGCAUGUCAUAUGUCUUGUUUUCUGGCUUCUUUAGAGUUAUCCCACGGAAGUAAACAUCAACGCCCCCUCGCUGUUUGCAAAGGAGACUCAGGCACAAACGCUUUCAGUUGCGCUUACAAGGAAUCCUGGCCUCUGAACACCAGUGUAGCACCUGCAGCCCUGAGACCACACCAUGCUCUCCUGCACCAAGUGUGCAAAAGGGAAACACUGGUGACUGUGGUGUGUGUGUGUGUGUGUGUGUGUGUGUGUGUGUGUGUGUGUGUGUGCACGCGUGUGUGCACGCCUUUGCCCUUACCUUGCUAGGAACUGAACCCUGGGCCUCGGGCACGCCAGCCGAGUUACCACUGAGCUAUACACUGCCCGUCCUCUUCAUGGUUGAUAUUAGCCAAAAGUCCAAUCGAUCUAGUCUUUUUACCGUUUUGAGAUAGGGUCUCACUAAGUUGCCCACACUGGUCUUGACCUUACUCUGUAGCCCAGACAGGCCUUGAACAUGUGAUCCUCCUGCCUCAGCCUUCUGAGUAGCUGAGGUUACAAGUCUGUUUCAGCAGACUGGCUGGCCACUGGUUCUAUGAGAAAUACAUUCCCACAGAAUAAGAGGGAAUUUGUUUCAUUUAGAGCAUAUCUUCUCUAGGCUGGGGACGUCACUUAGGGAUGGGAUGUUUGUGUGGCAUGCAAGAGGACUCCGCACCAAACGGAAAAUAAAAAUAAGGCUUAGAGAUGUCACUGAGUGGCUGUGGUGCUCGCCUAGCCUUCAUGAGCCCUGAGUUCUAUCCUUGGCACCAAUAAAACCAGGUGUGGUGGCAUGCAGCCAUGAUCCUAGCCCUCAGGAAGUAGAGGCUGGCAGAGCAGAAGGUCAAGGUCACCCUCUACAGUAGUCUACUACACAGCGGAUUUGAAGCCCGCCUGGGCUACAUGAGACCCUACCAUUCAUAAGUAAGUCCUGUGUAUAUUUUUCUGAUAACUUCAAUUCUAUUCUUUAUCUGCUUAUACAUCUCUUGCACACUAAAUUUAUUUAUUUUUUUAGUAUUGCCAUUUCUGUUAAAAACAAAUAAAUGCAACUCUGAUUUU